UAUUAUACUUAGUUUAAAUUGAAAUUUGAUCUUUGAGUAGUAACCAGGUAUAAUCUCGAAACUCAAAGAAUUUGGCGGUAUCUAAGUCUAGUUAGAGGAAUCUGUGCAGUAAACGAUAGUCCGCGAGUAUCUUGCCCUGCUUUGUAAUUACUCAGUUUGUAUACCGCCAUUAUUAGAUAAUCUUUUUAGAGAGUUAUUACAAUUAAGUGAGGUUUAGUAUAUUAGGUCAAGGUGCAGCUUAUAGUGGGGGUGUCAUGGAUUACAAUGGUAUAAGUGUUAGACGGAUUGGUCGUGGGAGAGCGAUCUUUAAGGUGGAUUUAAUUGUAAGGGGUGUAGAUUGAGCGUGGUCUGAUAAGAGCUCUUGGAUAUGUACAUAUCGCCCGUCGCUA
Molecule: ribosomal RNA, 389 nt
Filed under: Alpheus roblesi
Lineage: Eukaryota; Metazoa; Arthropoda; Malacostraca; Decapoda; Alpheidae
Description: partial 12S ribosomal RNA
Rfam family: Microsporidia small subunit ribosomal RNA
Source: RNAcentral